UCUGUAACACUUUACAGAUUGAAUAGAGCCCUUGGUCUGUGGCUUUGAAUGGCCAGCUUUUCCCACUGUCCUGGCUCAAUUAGAAAGUUGUUGACAAAAACUCCCAUGGCAACAAGCACAGCUGUGUGACACAGCAGGUGCGUUUAUCAGGACCAGGUGGGUUUCAGUUGACCAUGGCUGUGUUCACACUCAAGCUGUUCAAAUCCGAUUUCCGACUCAUGUUAUAUUGUGCCUGUGUGGACUCAAACUCCUGAUGAGAAUUGAUCAACUAACGAGCCACCUGUGCUCCUUAAAAUGGAGCUUCCAGUUUAUUCUCGGGCUGCUGCUGGAGGGAUAACACCAAUGCAGAACCACACCUGCCAAUGACCUGCAUCCAGAGGGGGACCAAACGUGUGGUUGAAUACUUGUGGUCAGAUUAACUCCCUGCUCAUGCAUGUUUUUUUCUCUCCCAUCUCUUUCGCCUGCAUGGGCCUGGCACAUGGUCUGAGUGCCAUAUACACUUGAUGACAACGGAUGAUGCAGAACGACUGGCAACCGACUACUGACGAACGAAUGAAACAACCAACCAACCAACCAAUGGAGCGAUCGUCAAGUGGUGGCAGUGGCCAUCUUGAUGACCCACCAGCAGCAUGAGCAGUAUUCUCUGGGACUGCGUUUGAUGUGCGCGUGAAUGGGGUUUUUGAACGUGUCAUCCACAGGCAUUUCCAGAUAAAGAAAAUGUUUUUACCUUUA
Long non-coding RNA from Oncorhynchus kisutch (coho salmon), 732 nucleotides. RefSeq lists it as uncharacterized. The record is from RefSeq and is a predicted model, not a curated record. The transcript has 2 exons. Lineage: Eukaryota; Metazoa; Chordata; Actinopteri; Salmoniformes; Salmonidae.